GAUGAAGAACGCAGCGAAAUGCGAUAAGUAAUGUGAAUUGCAGAAUUCAGUGAAUCAUCGAAUCUUUGAACGCACAUUGCGCCCGCCAGUAUUCUGGCGGGCAUGCCUGUCCGAGCGUCAUUUCAACCCUCGAACCCCUCCGGGGGGUCGGCGUUGGGGACCUCGGGAGCCCCUAAGACGGGAUCCCGGCCCCGAAAUACAGUGGCGGUCUCGCCGCAGCCUCUCCUGCGCAGUAGUUUGCACAACUCGCACCGGGAGCGCGGCGCGUCCACGUCCGUAAAACACCCAACUUCUGAAAUGUUGACCUCAGAUCAGGUAGGAAUACCCGCUGAACUUAAGCAUAUCAAUAAGCGGAGGA
RNAcentral lists this unclassified non-coding RNA (358 nucleotides) under soil metagenome. RNAcentral describes it as "partial contains 5.8S ribosomal RNA, internal transcribed spacer 2, and large subunit ribosomal RNA". The stretch from base 1 to 120 matches the Rfam family "5.8S ribosomal RNA", at positions 35 to 154 of the family's 154-position model. The record is from RNAcentral.